CCCUUAGAUGUUCUGGGCCGCACGCGCGCUACACUGUUUGAUUCAGCGAGUCUUAACCUUGACCGAAAGGUUUGGGUAAUCUUCUAAAGUCAAACGUGAUGGGGAUCGAUCAUUGCAAUUAUUGAUCGUGAACGAGGAAUUCCUAGUAAAUGCAAGUCAUCAGCUUGCGUUGAUUACGUCCCUGCCCUUUGUACACACCGCCCGUCGCUACUACCGAUUGAAUGGUUUAGUGAGAUCUCCGGAUUGGCUCUGUAGGUCCCGCAAGGGAUUUAUUAGUAGCCAAGAAGCUGCUCAAACUUGAUCAUUUAGAGGAAGGAGAAGUCGUAACA
This 329-nucleotide ribosomal RNA is filed under the name uncultured eukaryote. Its description in RNAcentral is "partial 18S ribosomal RNA". It matches the Rfam family "Eukaryotic small subunit ribosomal RNA", at positions 1470 to 1796 of the family's 1831-position model. The record is from RNAcentral.